Molecule: long non-coding RNA, 2033 nt
Organism: Alexandromys fortis (reed vole)
Lineage: Eukaryota; Metazoa; Chordata; Mammalia; Rodentia; Cricetidae
Exons: 4
Source: RefSeq, a predicted model, not a curated record
UAUUAGAAAUGGGCUAGUCCAGGAGCGAGAAUUAGCCUGUAAGGGAUAGAGUUCAUGGGCCAAGCAGUUCUUUAAAUGAAUACAGUUUGUGUGUUGUUAUUUUGGGCAUGAGCUAGCCAAGCGGCCGGGGUGUUGGGGACGCAGCCCCGCCGCUCAUAUUUCAACAAUUAAUCAAUGUUUUUGCAAGCUAUUUUUUCUAUGCUUUCCUUUUGCUUUUAAUUUUUCUUUUGUUGUCACUUUCCAAAUUAAUACUCCUUUUGAAACUCUGAAGUAGAAUACUUGGUGGCAUAGUCAUUUUUUCUGUUUUCUUCUGAGCAUUGUGAGAGCUUCCCCAGUCCUCAGUUCUGGGGUUUCUGGAGACUGGCAUCUUAUGUACAGUGAAGUCAGGAUUAAAGGAAAGCACUGCUUCACUCCAGCUAUCCUGGAGCUGACUGGGUCCCCAAGGCCACUUAAGACCACAGCUGUGCAAAUAGCCAGACCAAAUGCUGGUAAGAAGCAAGGAGGAAUCUCCUCUGGUGACAGUCUCUGUCUGAAUUCAUCUCCUAAAAAAGAUGCCAGCUAGAAGCAAUGUUGAAGCCGUGAUCCAUGCUGCUGCCAGAAAUCAUGUAGAAGUAUAUGAUACGUGCUGCUGCUGAGCGCUAGGGGCAAGUAAUCAAUGGUAUAGAUGACUGCAGAUUCAUAACUGAGGACGAGAGACACGGAAGUCUUUUGUGACAUCUCUACCUAAAAGAAACAGCUCAGACAAGAAGCUAUUGAAAAGAGUCCUUGAAAACUGUGAUAAAAAUGCUGAAGUAUAGUUCUUCAGAGUUGAUGAUCUCUGGCAGAGCUCAAUUCAGGGAAACCAAUCUGUAAGUAGUUGAUUGGCUCCUAUUGGCCUCUUCCUAGUCGUGUCCAUCCUCCCAUACAAGAAAAACCCUGUUCUGGGCCAGUAAUAUGGUUCAGUGACUACUCGCCACACAAGCCUGACAACGGGAAUUUGAACCCUGGGACCCACAUAAACGUCAAAGAAGAUAGUCCACAGAGCUGUCCUCUGACCUCCUCUUGGAGGAGCUGCUUAUUCAUCUCUGCCAUCCGGUUAGCUUAGCCCUGAAAUAACCACACAGAAAUUGUAUUAAUUUCAAGAAGUCCUUGUUUUUUACUGCUGAGUAGUACUCUAAUAUGUAUAUAUUCCAUACUUUCUCCAUCCAUUCUUCCAUUGAAGGGCAUCUAGGUUGUUUCCAGGUUCUGGCUAUUACAAACAAUGUUGCUAUGAACAUAGUUGAGCAUAUACUUUUGUUGUAUGAUAGGGCCUCUCUUGGGUAUAUUCCCAAGAGUGGUAUUGCUGGGUCCAGGGGUAGGUUGAUCCUGAAUUUCCUGAGAAACUGCCACACUGCUUUCCAAAGUGGUUGCACAAGUUUGCAUUCCAUUGAAGUUUGCAUACUAAUGGAUGGAAAUAGAAAACACUAUCCUGAGUGAGGUAAGCCAGAUCCAAAAAGAGGAACAUGGGAUGUACUCAUAUUUGGUUUCUAGCCAUAAAUAAAGGACAUUGAGCGUAGAAUUAGUGAUCCUAGAGAAGCUAAAUAAGAAGGAGAACCCAAAGAAAAACAUAUAAGCAUCCUCCUGAAUAUUAACCUUCAUCAGGCGAUGAAAGGAGACAGAGACAGAGACCCACAUUGGAGCACCGGACUGAAACCUCAAGGUCCAAAUCAGAAGCAGAAGGAGAGAGAGCUCGAGCAAGGAACUCAGGACGGUGAGGGGUGCACCCACACAUUGAGACAAUGGGAUGUUCUAUCGGGAACUCACCAAGGCCAGCUGGCCCGGGUCUGAAAAAGCAUGGGAUAAAACUGGACUUGCUGAACAUAGUGGACAAUGAGGACUACUGAGAACUCAAGAACAAUGGCAAUGGGUUUUUGAUUCUAUUGCAUGUACUGGCUAUGUGGGAGCCUAGGCAGUUUGGAUGCUCACCUUACUAGACCUGGAUUGAGGUGGGUGGUCCUUGGACUUCCCACAGGUCAGGGAACCCUGAUUGUUCUUUGGGCUGAUGAGGAGGGGGA